Molecule: ribosomal RNA, 960 nt
Filed under: Triticum aestivum (bread wheat)
Lineage: Eukaryota; Viridiplantae; Streptophyta; Magnoliopsida; Poales; Poaceae
Description: partial small subunit ribosomal RNA
Source: RNAcentral
AUGGCCGACACCACCCCUAGCCUCCUCUCCAACACCGCUAGCGCCCUCAUCAACACCCCCAUCGGCACCCUUGCCACCAGUUCAAGCUCCUCUGCCGCACCCACGAUCACCUCGAUCGGAAACCUUAUCACCCUCCGUCUCACGAGGGACAACUUCCUUCUAUGGAAGACCCAGGCUGUCCCUGCCCUCGCCUCCAACGGCUUGUUCGGAUAUGUCUCCGGCUCCGAAACGGCGCUGCCACACACCAUCACAGAAGGCACCGGCGAUGCGGCCAAGGAGGUAGCCAAUCCGGCGUUUCUUCGGUGGUACCAGCAGGAUCAGCUGGUGAUGAUCGCCCUCCUCGGCUCGAGGCUAGAGGAUAUCCUUGGACAGAUGACACAGCUCCGCACAUCUGAACAGGUCUGGACUACUCUUCAUGACAUGUUUGCCUCACAGAAUCGUGCCCGCGUCAUGCAGCUGCGCUACCAGCUCUCCAACCUGAAGAAGAAGGACCUCACCGCCUUCGAGUACUACCGCAAGAUGCGGGGCUUUGCUGAUGCCAUGGCGUCCAUCGGCAAGCCUCUCACCAACGAGGAGGUGCUUGGCUACAUACUUGCUGGACUAGGUCCCGAGUUUGAGCCGUUGGUCGCGUCGGUCAUGACGCGCGAUGACCCCAACAGCCUCACCAGCUUCUACGCGUUCCUCCUCGGCACCGAACUCCGCCUCGAGUACCAGGCCUCCGUCGGUCAACACCACCCUUCGGCGAACAUCGCCGCGCACAACCCUGAUGGUCGCGGUGCUGGCCGUGGCAAUCAGGGUGGCAACCAGGGUGGACAAGGCGGCAACAGCGGCAAUCGUGGCCGCGGCGGACGCGACCGUGGAAACGGACGCAGCAACCUCAAGUGCCAAGUCUGCGGCAAGUUUGGCCAUGACGCGCUGCACUGCCGCAACCGCUUCAACCAUGCGUUCCAGCCUGAAGAU